RNAcentral lists this long non-coding RNA (890 nucleotides) under Glycine max (soybean). RNAcentral describes it as "long non-coding RNA (GMAX_LNC001192)". Lineage: Eukaryota; Viridiplantae; Streptophyta; Magnoliopsida; Fabales; Fabaceae. The record is from RNAcentral.
UCCGUGUUUAUUCCCUUGAUUACACAGUAAUGUAAUGUAAUUUAUCACAAAUUUCUCCACAGGUUUCAAAGCAGAGUUACCAAAGAACAUUAUCCAUUCCGUAAGACAUCCAGUAACAAAACUUGCAGAGGAAAAUAACAAGACUAGAAAUCCAACACUAAUCAAGCCACAAAUUCCUUCCCGACAUCAGAAGCCAAUUAAAGUUUGUAGUAAAGUGACCGCACCCAACGGAACCAAUAUCGACACCGCGCACCAAACACUAGCCAACAGAGGAAUUAGGUGACGAAUUGAAUGCCAAGUUAAGCUAGCAGAAUCACGGUUACAAAUUAAAGUGACACUUUUGCUCCCUCCCGGAUUUCAAACCACGCCACAAACAUCAAUCGUCUCUAAUCGAACCCCUCGUCAAAACAGUGCCAUCACCGUUUAAUCGCACCUAGACGACAUCGACCCAUGAGCAAACAAAACCAACCCGUGCAUCUAAAUGUGGGAUCUAUCUCCUUUCUUUAAUUGGCCGCGUCAUUAUUCAUUAACAAACACUAGUAGUUAACAAAUAGCCACAAGGAUAUUGUUAUGUACGAGAGUAGGUCUAUCCAGUAAUUUAGAGAGAGCUCAAGGUGUUCAACAUCAACAUUUAUUAUCAAAGAAAAGAGCGACGUACAUCUAAGGCAGAAUCUUUGGAUGGAGCAAAAGAAGAAAACGAGUGGGAAGAAAUUACUCUAGCGAGGUGUUAUAAGGAAAUUCUCUCAAAACGAGGAAAUCAUUUUUAACUUGUUAUGAUUGAGAAGGUAUUCAGUUAUAAAAAGAAAUGCAAACAACAAUAACAAUGCGACGAAUUCCUAUCUGAGAGAUUAUUGAUGGAGAUAGGGCUCUGUGGUGUGUGUAAGUGCAAU